UACAGAGGGUGCAAGCGUUAAUCGGAAUUACUGGGCGUAAAGCGUGCGUAGACGGUUACAUAAGUCGGGUGUGAAAGCCCCGGGCUCAACUGGGGAGGGUCACGCGAUACUGAUCGACUCGAAGGCAGGAGAGGGUAGUGGAAUUCCCGGUGUAGUGGUGAAAUGCGUAGAUAUCGGGAGGAACACCAGUGGCGAAGGCGACUACCUGGCCUGUUUCUUGACGCUGAGGCGCGAAAGCUAGGGGAGCAAACGGG
Molecule: ribosomal RNA, 254 nt
Filed under: uncultured bacterium
Lineage: Bacteria
Description: partial 16S ribosomal RNA
Rfam family: Bacterial small subunit ribosomal RNA
Source: RNAcentral